GGCUGAAGCAGUUAUGCGAGAUGGAGGCAUAGGUCUCCUGCUUAAUCUUGCAAGAUCUUGGCGGGAAGGGCUUCAGACAGAAGCUGCAAAGGCUAUUGCAAAUUUAUCUGUGAAUGCCAAUGUUGCAAAAGCUGUAGCAGAAGAAGGUGGGAUAAGCGUCCUAGCAAUUUUGGCGAAGUCUAUGAAUAGGUUGGCUGCAGAAGAGGCUGCUGGAGGACUAUGGAAUCUCUCAGUUGGGGAAGAGCAUAAGGCUGCCAUUGCUGAAGCUGGUGGUGUAAAAGCUUUGGUUGAUCUUAUCUUCAAAUGGUCCAUUAG
This 315-nucleotide unclassified non-coding RNA is filed under the name Hevea brasiliensis (rubber tree). The record is from RNAcentral. Lineage: Eukaryota; Viridiplantae; Streptophyta; Magnoliopsida; Malpighiales; Euphorbiaceae.